Molecule: ribosomal RNA, 383 nt
Filed under: uncultured eukaryote
Lineage: Eukaryota
Description: partial 18S ribosomal RNA
Rfam family: Eukaryotic small subunit ribosomal RNA
Source: RNAcentral
CAAUAGCGUAUAUUAAAGUUGUUGCAGUUAAAAAGCUCGUAGUUGGAUUUCUGGUGGGAGCGAUCGGUCUGGCGCUUAGCGCGAGUACUUGCAUCGUCUCCGGCCAUCCUUGGGGAAAGUCUGUCUGGCAUUAAGUUGUCGGGCAGAGGAUCCUCAUCGUUUACUGUGAAAAAAUUAGAGUGUUCAAAGCAGGCUUAUGCCGUUGAAUAUAUUAGCAUGGAAUAAUAAGAUAGGACUUUGGUACUAUUUUGUUGGUUUGCGCACCAAAGUAAUGACUAAUAGGGACAGUUGGGGGUAUUCGUAUUCCGUUGUCAGAGGUGAAAUUCUUGGAUUUACGGAAGACGAACUACUGCGAAAGCAUUUACCAAGGAUGUUUUCAUUAA